Molecule: long non-coding RNA, 393 nt
Filed under: Strigops habroptila (Kakapo)
Lineage: Eukaryota; Metazoa; Chordata; Aves; Psittaciformes; Psittacidae
Description: lncRNA (ENSSHBG00005014870.1)
Source: RNAcentral
GGGGCAAUGACGUCACCGGACGCGCAGGGGGCGGGGCCAAACGUCUCUAUUGCAACGGUGCAGGUCGGGGGGUCCAUGGGGCGCCUCUGCCGGUGCCGUUGUCGGGGUCGAAGCCGGGGUCAAGGUCGGGGUCAAGGUCGGGGACACCGGCGCCACCGCAGCUGCCAGAAGACGUGUUCUUGUUCCCCCAAGCACGCCUGCCCGUCGAUGACGUCACCGAUGACGUCACCGCCGCUCGCCGUGACCACCACCUACAUCAUCUGGCCCCCCCCGGCCAUCACCACCUUGGGGGGGCCCCGCGUGGCCGUAGUUGGGGCCCCCGAGCCCCCAAAAUGCUGCUUUUAGCCCCAAAACGCUGCUUUUAGCCCCAAAACGGCCAUUUUGGGGCUGUUU